CCUACGGGAGGCAGCAGUGGGGAAUAUUGCACAAUGGGCGAAAGCCUGAUGCAGCGACGCCGCGUGAGGGAUGACGGCCUUCGGGUUGUAAACCUCUUUCAGUAGGGAAGAAGCGAAAGUGACGGUACCUGCAGAAGAAGCGCCGGCUAACUACGUGCCAGCAGCCGCGGUAAUACGUAGGGCGCAAGCGUUAUCCGGAAUUAUUGGGCGUAAAGAGCUCGUAGGCGGUUUGUCGCGUCUGCCGUGAAAGUCCGGGGCUCAACUCCGGAUCUGCGGUGGGUACGGGCAGACUAGAGUGAUGUAGGGGAGACUGGAAUUCCUGGUGUAGCGGUGAAAUGCGCAGAUAUCAGGAGGAACACCGAUGGCGAAGGCAGGUCUCUGGGCAUUAACUGACGCUGAGGAGCGAAAGCAUGGGGAGCGAACAGGAUUAGAUACCCUGGUAGUCCAUGCCGUAAACGUUGGGCACUAGGUGUGGGGGACAUUCCACGUUUUCCGCGCCGUAGCUAACGCAUUAAGUGCCCCGCCUGGGGNGUACGGCCGCGAGACUAAACUUAAAUAGAUAGACGCGNGAGAGNGCGAGCGACGACGAGGGAGAGG
This 597-nucleotide ribosomal RNA is filed under the name uncultured bacterium. RNAcentral describes it as "bacterial SSU rRNA". It matches the Rfam family "Bacterial small subunit ribosomal RNA", at positions 338 to 946 of the family's 1533-position model. The record is from RNAcentral.